RNAcentral lists this ribosomal RNA (855 nucleotides) under Triticum aestivum (bread wheat). RNAcentral's name for it is "partial small subunit ribosomal RNA". Lineage: Eukaryota; Viridiplantae; Streptophyta; Magnoliopsida; Poales; Poaceae. The record is from RNAcentral.
AUGGGAUCGUCGAGGAGGUCGCGGCUCGCCCGGAGAGCGGCACUAGCCUCGAGGAUCAGGUAUCGCACACCGUUCUAUCACCGUUCUAUCGCUCCGAGAGCGUUCUUUCGCCUGGCGCGCACUCUGGCGCCGACUGAUGUCCUUUCUUCGGCGCAGCUGGUACGCAUGUUAGCCAUGCUCUGCGACAACAACAGACACGCAGACUUCAAGUACCUCCACGUCUUCAAGCGGAUCAACAAGUGCGAGAAAUGGGCGGCCGUCCGACGCACCCUUGCCAAGGCCAAAGAGACGUACAAACUGGACGCGCCGACCGCAGGCGCAUCUGAGGGGCGCCCGGACGGCAACAAAGGAGCCAAGAAGGCGAAAUAUGUCGUGUCGGCUGCUGCGCGCGUGCAAGAGUCCAUCGAACACUGCCUCGCCGACGUCAAGACCAGGGCCGCCGAGCGAGAAGAGAAAACCGAGGCGAGGUGGGCUGUUUUGAUGACGAACAUCGCCGUCAAACUCGACUUGCUCCGGACCAGCGCCGCCGCGAAGCUCAAAGCUCAAGACGCCAAGAAGAGGAACAACGAUCUCACCUUUUUGAUGGGCGGCGCUGACAUGCUCCAGGGCGGCGACGAGAAGCUCAAGGCGUGGUUCUUGGCCAAUCGCGGCCUCAUCCUGGACCAGAUUCCGGCGACGCCGCCGCCGCCGCCCAGCCCGGCGGCUGAUGACGAUGCCUCCGCGACGCCCAGCACCACCGACGACGAUGCCUCUGCUGCGCGGAACAUCUCAGAAGCUGCGACGGAAGCCGCGCCGACUCCUCCUAGCCCGCAUACGCCGCCGCCGCCGCCGUCCGAACUUGAGGUCGUCGCCUGA